Molecule: ribosomal RNA, 465 nt
Filed under: Vreelandella stevensii
Lineage: Bacteria; Pseudomonadati; Pseudomonadota; Gammaproteobacteria; Oceanospirillales; Halomonadaceae
Description: partial 16S ribosomal RNA
Rfam family: Bacterial small subunit ribosomal RNA
Source: RNAcentral
CCUACGGGUGGCUGCAGUGGGGAAUAUUGGACAAUGGGCGAAAGCCUGAUCCAGCCAUGCCGCGUGUGUGAAGAAGGCCUUCGGGUUGUAAAGCACUUUCAGUGGGGAAGAAAGCCUUGGGGCUAAUACCCUCGAGGAAGGACAUCACCCACAGAAGAAGCACCGGCUAACUCCGUGCCAGCAGCCGCGGUAAUACGGAGGGUGCGAGCGUUAAUCGGAAUUACUGGGCGUAAAGCGCGCGUAGGCGGUCUGAUAAGCCGGUUGUGAAAGCCCCGGGCUCAACCUGGGAACGGCAUCCGGAAGUGUCGGGAGGGAGUCAGAGAGAGGGAGGAGGAAUCCCAGGGGUAGGGGUGAAAUGCAUAGAGCGGGGGAGGAAAACCGGGGGCGAGGGCGGCUUAAGAAGUUAAGACUGACGCUGGUGUGCGACAGCGUGGGUAGAAAACAGGAUUAGAGACCCAAGUAGUC